Chloroflexi bacterium RBG_16_56_11 is the source of this 84-nucleotide non-coding RNA. Lineage: Bacteria; Bacillati; Chloroflexota. The record is from Rfam.
UACCAUCGACCGUAAUGGCGGUGAGUUCUAAAGAAGACCUUAAUAAAAUAAGUCGCUUGGAUCGUAUACGACCGAGACGGCAUA